AGCGUGUCCCCGUGGCCCUUGGGCGCCGCCAGCCCCACGUCGUCCCGCAGCUCCUCGGGCGGCACCUCCAGGUUGCCCGCGUACCAGAACACCCACCAGAUGAGGCUGAGGAAGAUGCCGAUGCCGCCCGCGUAGAUGAGCAGGUCGGAGAAGAACACGUCGGCGAACACGCCCGCCAGCAGCACCGCCAGCCCCAGCGCGUCGAACGCCAGCGCCAGCCAGAAGGCGGCCACGCAACGGCCGAGCCCGCCCGGGGCCGCCAUCGGAGCGGCGCCGCCGCCUCGGGCCGCCCGCACGUGAGGGGAGGCGGGCGGGAGUGGCGGGAGGGCGGCGCCCACCUGAGGGCACGUCCGGGCCGAGCCCCCCGCACCUGAGGGCACGGCCGGGACACGUUCUCCCUCCCUGAGGGCACCGCCAGGCCCCGCCCCCGCCUGCACCUGAGGGGGCGCCCAGGCCACGCCCCCCACACCUGAGGGCACCUCCAGCUCCCGCCCCGGUGAGGCGGGAACGCGCUGCCCUCAGGCGGCCCCGCCGCCCCCGCGGUGGGUGCUGAAGGCGUUUAAGGUUGAUCUGUAGCGACCGAAGGCAUUCAGGGGCCGGGGCGUCCCUUGGAAGUGGCGGUCGCUGCCGCUUCCGUGUGCAGAUGGAAGAAACAACAGUACUGCGACCAUAAUGCAGGAACACCCUCAACUGUUCUGGUAGCAGAAAAAAAGCCCACAAGUGAAGCUUCAGGAUUGAAAGGCACAUACCUUGUAACUGGCAACCCAAAGAAUCAGUAUUCUCUGUGCCUAAGGAUGGCGCAGCCCAGCUUCCAAUUACACCAAAAGUGGGGCUAAAGCGGCUCUCGCUGAAGGCACGGGAGCAGCCAGGAGCGGGCCGUGGCAGCCAAAUCCCUCACGCUCGGCAUUACCAAAGUGCUCUUUCCCAAACCAAAGGACACGAGCAACCCCUGUACCCACACAGCCGCCGGUGAGUUUCUUACAUUCUGAUGAGUUUUGCCUCCCGCGGGACCUUCCAGACCGUCACCAGCAGGUGAACACUCUCGUUCUCGUUGAGCAGCAGCGCGUCUCCCUUGGCCUUGCUCCUGGCGAAAGCGAGGAGAGCCUCCACUGCCUUCUUCACCUGCAACGGCACCAGCCGUGGAUAAACCCCAGCCCGGCCCGGCCCCGCUCCAGGUGCUCCCCCCCGGCUCCCCGCGGUACCUGGGCGCUCUCCAGCAGCUCUCUCCGUCCCGCCAUGGUCCCGCCGGUGCCACGUGCGGCCGCUGCGCCUGCGCGGGCUCCUCUUUCCGGGUCACGGCGGGGCCCGUCCGGGGCGGGGCGGUGCGGGGAGGGCGAGGCCCACGGGUCCCUCUGGUCCGGGACAGGGGCCGGGGGUGUUUCCCGGGAGCAUCGUUCCCGUCCUCGGAGCCAGCCUUGUCCCAGAAUGUCACGGGCUAAUCGAGUUUGGAGCAGAGCUCCGGAGGCCGUCAGUCCGUCCCGCCCCGGCUGCAGCGCCAGCCGGAGGUCAGGCGGGGAUGCUCAGGGCUGUGUCCAGCCCGACCUUCCCAGCUCCAGGGAUGGAGGCUGUGCCAAUGCCCGAGUGUCUCAGUGCUCCAUUUGUUUCUGGACUUCGGGUAGAGGACAAGCCAUUGUCUUUACCCUGUUGUCCAAACAGUUGCUACCCAUGUCUUCAGAUUCCUUCUUUGAAACCUAUCCCUGAUUUUAUCUCCUGUAUUACUGUCCUUUUGCACUGGAGUGCUGUUGUAAGUUCCCUGUUUUCCUGUGUAUCAGGAGGAACUGUUUUUAUGAUUGGAGAAGGAUGUCCUUAAAGAACUGCUGCCAGCUUCCCUGAGCAACUUUCAGAGCUGCCUUCCGUGGGAUCUUGCCUGGUGUCCCAAGUAUGUCCCAUGGAGUCCAGGGCCUGCCUUCUGCUCCUCAUCUUCCUCACACUCUGUGUCUUGAACUCUGCUAUUUCCAGGUCACUGCCAUUGAGGCAGCCACUGAUUAUCACAUGCUAAACCAUUUCUUCCUCAUGUGUGACUAAUAAAGGCACAAUUGCUGCAUCUGCUGUUCAGUUUGGGAAUGCACUGUCUGACUACAUGGAAGUAGCUUAAUUUUAGGAUGCUUAUCCCGUUGAGUUCCAUGCUGAAUAAAUACAUUGUUCUGAGAUAAAAUCUGGCCUGGAAUUAUUUUGCCCUCAUUCCCACAGUGCUGUGUGUGCCUUGGCAGCUUUGCCUUGUCUGCAUUCAUCACACAGGUAAGCUGCUACCUGGGUAACACAGCUAUGCAUCACCAGGGUUUAAAUAUGCAUGUAAUUAGGAGUCUGAGUCAUUCACUCAUCUCUAGAUCUUUUCUUGCCCUUUGCCUUUCUAUUUAUGGUUUUAUUCUUUCUCAUCAGAUGUCUUCCAACAAAAUCUGUUGCUCCAUCAGCAUGCAAAGAGAAAGUACAAAGAGAAAGAAACUAAAAUACCCUAGUUUCCUGACAAACUGCUUCACGUAGUGGUUUAUAUUUUCAUUCUACUGUUAGUGUUUUUUAGAGCAACAGUGGAAUAGUUGAUGGCUUCAAGACAUAUCCAGACUUAUGAAAGAACUAUAUGGACAUAAACUGAUUUUAAAGAGUGGGGGAAAAAAAAUCCUAUUGUGAUAUUUGAACAAAAUAAAUGAAACUGUCUAAGAAAAAGAAAA
Molecule: long non-coding RNA, 2666 nt
Organism: Chiroxiphia lanceolata (lance-tailed manakin)
Lineage: Eukaryota; Metazoa; Chordata; Aves; Passeriformes; Pipridae
Exons: 3
Source: RefSeq, a predicted model, not a curated record